Molecule: non-coding RNA, 1039 nt
Organism: Triticum urartu
Lineage: Eukaryota; Viridiplantae; Streptophyta; Magnoliopsida; Poales; Poaceae
Source: RefSeq, a predicted model, not a curated record
CUAACCAUAUUGCUUUCACGUAUCGAUAUGCUGGUCAAGAUCUCGAUGAAAAUAAUAACGUUUCUCAUUAGUAUAGCUUAGUGCUGUUAUGUUGCUCCCUGGUGUUGCUUUUAAAUGCUUCAUCUAGGCAAAAUGUGAUUCAGGUUUAACAAACUAACUAUGGAGUGUGGCUCAAUUUGUACUGAGGUGUAUCCAAGUUUUCUCCUGUGUUGUCCUUUGUCACACUUGAUACUCCCAAAUAGGCCAUUGAUGUACAAAGAACUGGUCCUGAUUUUUUUAUACCCUACAACACAAUGGGUUCAGAUUUGACAUGGGGAUUAGGUAACUGAGAUAUUUGCAUGUCUAGCUAAUGCCAUUUUUUAGCUGUGUUUUCGUUGUGAAGUCUGAUCAAACUCAAGUAAUAUAUGAUCCAACAAUACAAAUUGAACUGCCUAUGAAUAUCCUAGAAUAUUGUGAAGUGCAACUCUUACUUUUCAAAGCUAUGAUGUGUAGACAGAUUGCAUAGCUAGAGUUUCCCAUGAAGAUGGCCAAGUGGUGAGCUGGAUCUUUCUUCACGAGCUGAGGCAGCAAUUGUGGAAUUCUGGAAACACGGCCAUUGAUGUUCUAAACGGUAUAGCUUGGGACGAAGAAAAUAACAGAUUGUUUGUGACCGGGAAAUUGUGGCCGAAGCUCUACGAGAUCAAGCUGCGCCCGGUCGAUGGGCCACCAGACGGGUCUGUGGAGAGGCUGUGCCCAAGGGCAAGCUUUUAUUGAUGACAAGUGUCGACGAGAAUGCCGAGGCAAGAUUAUUUUUUUGCCUAGGCGAGGAUAUGUACAUGUAUUAUGCCUCCUGAUCGAUUCGAGGUGAUCGGCAGUUGGAAGAUAGAUUUUUUUGCUGUGACUUGGUAGUGGCGUGGCGGGAGCUAGCUGCUCGUGAGUUUCAUGUUGGAGCCAGUGUAGUUAUGUGUAUGAUCAUGUAUGUGUUUUCCCCUGAUGUAAAAGUUGUAAAGAUGAUGAUUCUGUUGUGAAGAAAUCUAAUACGAAAAGAACAAUUCAUUCA